RNAcentral lists this transfer RNA (84 nucleotides) under Candidatus Omnitrophota bacterium. RNAcentral's name for it is "tRNA-Leu". It matches the Rfam family "tRNA". From Rfam's summary of the family: Transfer RNA (tRNA) molecules are approximately 80 nucleotides in length. Lineage: Bacteria; Pseudomonadati; Candidatus Omnitrophota. The record is from RNAcentral.
GGGCGAGUGGUGGAAUGGUAUACACGUGGGACUUAAAAUCCCAUGACCUUUUAGGUCGUAAGGGUUCAAAUCCCUUCUCGCCCA